This 465-nucleotide ribosomal RNA is filed under the name uncultured bacterium. RNAcentral describes it as "partial 16S ribosomal RNA". It matches the Rfam family "Bacterial small subunit ribosomal RNA", at positions 28 to 507 of the family's 1533-position model. The record is from RNAcentral.
GACGAACGCUGGCGGCGUGCUUAACACAUGCAAGUCGAACGGAAAGGCCCCUUUGGGGGUUCUCGAGUGGCGAACGGGUGAGUAACACGUGAGUAACCUGCCCUUGACUUCGGGAUAACUUCAGGAAACUGGGGCUAAUACCGGCUAGGAAUCCUUGCUGCAUGGUGGGGGUUGGUAAGCUUCGGCGGUUUUGGAUGGACUCGCGGCUUAUCAGCUUGUUGGUGGGGUAGUGGCUUACCAAGGCUUGGACGGGUAGCCGGCCUGAGAGGGCGACCGGCCACAUUGGGACUGAGAGACGGCCCAGACGCCGACGGGAGGCAGCAGUGGGGAAUAUUGCACCAGGGGCGGAAGCCUGAUGCAGCAAGGCCGCGGGCGGGAUGACGGUCUUCGGGUUGGAAACCGCUUUCAGCAGGGGCGAAGCUUGUGGUGACGGUACCUGCAGAAGAAGCACCGGCUAACUACGUG